Lagenorhynchus albirostris (white-beaked dolphin) is the source of this 1539-nucleotide long non-coding RNA. RefSeq lists it as uncharacterized. The record is from RefSeq and is a predicted model, not a curated record. Lineage: Eukaryota; Metazoa; Chordata; Mammalia; Artiodactyla; Delphinidae. The transcript is spliced from 4 exons.
CAGUUCCAGGCCUAGCCCUCUAGAAGCAUUGUGCAAUUCCACUCUGUGUCUUGGGCCUUUGCUCUGCCAUGAGAAAAAGCCCAGGCUAGCCUGCUGGAAGGUUAGAGGCUGCAUGAAAUGAAGAUAAGUCAUCUCAGCUGAGGCCAUUCUAGAUCAGUCUGUAGGUAAGAGGGUACUUGGAGAAUUUCCUGUUGAUGAUCCAUCAAGAAAGAAACUAAUCGUGCAGCAAGAAGCUCAUCAAGAUCUACUUCUUCAGCACAGCGUAACACACACCGAGAGAAAAACAGAUUGAUGGAAGACACUGGAGACCUCUUUACUUGAACUCCCUGCAGACUGAGAAGAAGACACUCAGUUGAUUUGAAGGAAUUCAGACUGUUUAAGUGAAGGAUUUUUGAAGACUGUGGAUCAUCUUGGAUUUUAUGUAUCCCACUGGGUCUAUCUGAAACUGUGACGUAGCCACAAACAACUACCAGGAAAUGAAACAAAAAUUAAGAUGCAACUGUAUGACAGUGGACAAAAAUAAAACAAAAACAAGAGUAACGUUAAAAAAACAAAGCAUCACUAUAGUACAUAUUGUUAGUAUAGUACAAAUAGCAGUUGCUUAAUUCAGAAGCCACUUAAAUAGGACACAUGCAACAUUCAGUUACAAAGUGCAAGACUCGAGGUUUUCCAACUUGUGAUGAAAAUAACUUUAAAAUUUAUUUCAACAAUCUAAUUAAAUGGAUUCAGUCAAAUACAUGAAAAAAUAUCUACUUUCAGUCUACAAGUAUUAGAAAAUUCUUAAUUAUAAGACAACUGUAGUUUAAUAAAACAUAUAUAUCAUUUUUGUUUCUGGUACCUGGUAUAGAACUCCUAAACCCCAUGGAAUUUCCAGUGACAAGAGUCUUUUGUUAUUCACAAUGAGCCUAUUAGAGCUAGCCUCAGUUUAUGCUAAUGAGGUGACUUAGGCUUAGCCCUUCUUGGAAGGUUGGAACUUUUAGCCUUACCUCAGACCUCCCUGGAGGGGGUGGUGGGGUAGUGGUGGUUGGUGGAGGUCAGACUUAGUCAACAAUGAGCAAUGAUUUAAUCAACCAUGCCUAUGUAAUGAAACCUCAGUUAAAACUCUGAAACAAAACAGCUAUGGGAGCUUACCAGUUGGUGAAUACAUGGACACGCUUGUGGGGGAUGACAUUCCUGGAGAGAACAUAGAAGCUCUGCACAACCCUUACCCCCAUUCCUUGCCCUAUAUAUCUCUUCCAUUUGGCUGUUCCUGACUUGUAUCCUUUAUAAUAAACUGGUAAUCAUUAAGUAAAGCACUUUCCAGAGUUCUGUGAGCCGUUACAGUGAAUUAUUAAACUUCAGGGGGUUGUGGGAACCCCUAACUUGGUAGUUAGCCAGGCAGAAAUGUCAGUAAACCUGAGGACCUCAUUUGCAGCUGGUGAAUGAAGUGAGGGCAGCGUUGUGGAACUGAGCCCUUGAUCUCUGGGGUCUGAGCUAGCACUGGGUAGUUAGUAUCAGAGCUGAAAGACUUUGUCCUCAACUUUUUGGGGUCUGGGUUAA